This 88-nucleotide transfer RNA is filed under the name Kiritimatiellia bacterium. RNAcentral's name for it is "tRNA-Leu". It matches the Rfam family "tRNA". Rfam says of the family: Transfer RNA (tRNA) molecules are approximately 80 nucleotides in length. Their secondary structure includes four short double-helical elements and three loops (D, anti-codon, and T loops). The record is from RNAcentral. Lineage: Bacteria; Pseudomonadati; Kiritimatiellota; Kiritimatiellia.
GCCGGAGUGGUGGAAUGGCAGACACCAGGGACUUAAAAUCCCUUGUCAAGUUUUUGACGUGCGGGUUCGAGUCCCGCCUCCGGCACCA